Molecule: ribosomal RNA, 105 nt
Filed under: Bacillus wiedmannii
Lineage: Bacteria; Bacillati; Bacillota; Bacilli; Caryophanales; Bacillaceae
Source: RNAcentral
GGCAGAGAGGUCACACCCGUUCCCAUACCGAACACGGAAGUUAAGCUCUCUAGCGCCGAUGGUAGUUGGGACUUUGUCCCUGUGAGAGUAGGACGUCGCCAAGCA